Molecule: non-coding RNA, 138 nt
Filed under: Lankesteria abbotti
Lineage: Eukaryota; Apicomplexa; Conoidasida; Eugregarinorida; Lecudinidae
Source: RNAcentral
UUUUUUUUUUUUUUUUUUUUUUUUUUUUUUUUGAACAGUUUAUUUGUUCAACAACGUUGAGUUUGGUGCAGCCAGCCAGGCAAAAGCACAACAGCUUAAUAAAUCAUGAACAUCACCACAAAAGUGAAGUCAAUCAAA